AUCACAUCAUGUUGAAACACUGGUUUCCAUAUGAUCAUCGAUGUUAAGCAAUGUCGAGCCUAGUCAGUACCUAGAUUGGUUACUGCUUGGGAAUACCAGUUGCUGUAAU
Molecule: non-coding RNA, 109 nt
Organism: Acanthosepion pharaonis
Lineage: Eukaryota; Metazoa; Mollusca; Cephalopoda; Sepiida; Sepiidae
Source: the annotation of a GenBank genome assembly